Molecule: ribosomal RNA, 667 nt
Filed under: Alexandrium tamarense
Lineage: Eukaryota; Dinophyceae; Gonyaulacales; Pyrocystaceae
Description: eukaryotic LSU rRNA
Rfam family: Eukaryotic large subunit ribosomal RNA
Source: RNAcentral
UAAGUAAGUGGUGGAAAUUAAACCAAAUGGGAUAUCUUUAGUAAUUGCGAAUGAACAAGGAUAUGCUUAGCUUGACAAAUGGAGCUAUUGGCUUUGAAUUGUAUUGUGGAAAUGUAUUACCAACAGAGGUGCAGGUGCCAGCCUAUUGAAAUAAAGCGUCAAUGAGGGUGAGAAUCCUGUUUGUCAUGUGCAGCCCUUUGUGCACGGUGUAUAUUUGCUGAGUCACACUCCUUGGCAUUGGAAUGCAAAGUGGGUGGUAAGUUUCAUGUACAGGUAAACAUGCAAUUGAGACUGAUAGCACACAAGUACCAUGAGGGAAAUAUGAAAAGGACUUUGAAAAGAGAAUUAAAUGAGUUUGUAUUUGCUGAACACAAAGUAAACAGACUUGAUUUGCUUGGUGGGAGUGUUGCACUUGCUUGACAAGAGCUUUGGGCUGUGGGUGUAAUGAUUCUUUCUUUGCAUGCCAGUUUCUAUGUGUACAUCUGAUUACCUUUGCACAUGAAUGAUAAGUCUCCUGUGGGGGGUGGAUUGCAUGUGCAUGUAAUGAUUUGUGUUUUGAUAAAUGUGUCUGGUGUAUGUGUGUGUGUUCCUGUGCUUGGGGAUGCUUCCUUCCUUGGACUUACAAGCCCUGACACACACAUGCUGCAAAAUGCUUCUGCUUGACCCG